CCCUUAGAUGUCCUGGGCUGCACGCGCGCUACACUGAUGUGUUCAAUAAGCACCUAACCUACUCCGAAGGGACUGGGUAACCUUUGCAAAGCACAUCGUGAUGGGGAUAGAUUAUUGCAAUUAUUAGUCUUGAACGAGGAAUUCCUAGUAAGCGCAAGUCAUCAGCUUGUGUUGAUUACGUCCCUGCCCUUUGUACACACCGCCCGUCGCUCCUACCGAUUGGGUGUGCUGGUGAAAUGUUCGGAUCGGCCGUUUGUCGCGGUUUCCGCGUCAUGUGGCUGAGAAGUUCAUUAAACCCUCCCACCUAGAGGAAGGAGAAGUCGUAACA
This 328-nucleotide ribosomal RNA is filed under the name uncultured eukaryote. RNAcentral's name for it is "partial 18S ribosomal RNA". It matches the Rfam family "Eukaryotic small subunit ribosomal RNA", at positions 1470 to 1796 of the family's 1831-position model. The record is from RNAcentral.